CACCGUGUUGUGAUGAUAUCUAAGCAAUGCAUAGUUCAUCUGAUCUACUGAUGAAAACUUAACCUUCAAUAGUCUUUCGCUCCCAUCUGAACACAUCU
RNAcentral lists this small nucleolar RNA (98 nucleotides) under Claviceps purpurea 20.1. RNAcentral describes it as "Small nucleolar RNA snR60/Z15/Z230/Z193/J17". It matches the Rfam family "Small nucleolar RNA snR60/Z15/Z230/Z193/J17". Rfam says of the family: The members of this family belong to the C/D class of snoRNAs which contain the C (UGAUGA) and D (CUGA) box motifs. Most of the members of the box C/D family function in directing site-specific 2'-O-methylation of substrate RNAs. The record is from Rfam by way of RNAcentral. Lineage: Eukaryota; Fungi; Ascomycota; Sordariomycetes; Hypocreales; Clavicipitaceae.